UCUCCCUCUUUUUAAAAACCUUCUUUGCUUGUGAUUUCUAAAUUUAGACUUUAUUACAAAUUAGAAACUUUGGCCUUAUGCCAUUUCAUUUUUAACUCUUUUCUUAAAUCAAACUUGUAAAUGAAUUUAACCAUAUUAGACUUAAAAUUUCAAAAGACAAAAAUAACUAACACUCAUUCAAACUCUUUUAGGCCUUUUGUGCCUCUUUGAAACUUAAUUUUUUGUUAAAAAGUAAUCCACUCAUUUUGAAAUUGAUACCACGAACUACGAGGUUUUGAUCCCUCAUUUUUAUGUUGGUACGUAGGCACAAGUCCAAAGGUCUUGCCAAACACAAAAAUAUAAUGAAUUCUUU
This 352-nucleotide long non-coding RNA is filed under the name Lathyrus oleraceus (garden pea). RNAcentral's name for it is "Pisum sativum (pea) long non-coding RNA (PSAT_LNC020767)". Lineage: Eukaryota; Viridiplantae; Streptophyta; Magnoliopsida; Fabales; Fabaceae. The record is from RNAcentral.